This is a non-coding RNA of Ceratotherium simum simum (southern white rhinoceros), 103 nucleotides long. Lineage: Eukaryota; Metazoa; Chordata; Mammalia; Perissodactyla; Rhinocerotidae. The record is from RefSeq and is a predicted model, not a curated record.
AUAACAAAGAACCACAAACUGGAUGACUUAAAAAACAGAAAUGUAUGGUCUCACGGUCCUGGAGGCCAGAUGUCUGAGAUCAAGGUUUUGGCGGGUCACUCUC